GAUGAACGCUAGCUACAGGCUUAACACAUGCAAGUCGAGGGGCAUCGGGAAGAAAGCUUGCUUUCUUUGCCGGCGACCGGCGCACGGGUGAGUAACACGUAUCCAACCUGCCGAUAACUCGGGGAUAGCCUUUCGAAAGAAAGAUUAAUAUCCGAUAGUAUAUUAAAACCGCAUGGUUUUACUAUUAAAGAAUUUCGGUUAUCGAUGGGGAUGCGUUCCAUUAGUUUGUUGGCGGGGUAACGGCCCACCAAGACUACGAUGGAUAGGGGUUCUGAGAGGAAGGUCCCCCACAUUGGAACUGAGACACGGUCCAAACUCCUACGGGAGGCAGCAGUGAGGAAUAUUGGUCAAUGGACGAGAGUCUGAACCAGCCAAGUAGCGUGAAGGAUGACUGCCCUAUGGGUUGUAAACUUCUUUUAUAUGGGAAUAAAGUAUUCCACGUGUGGAAUUUUGUAUGUACCAUAUGAAUAAGGAUCGGCUAACUCCGUGCCAGCAGCCGCGGUAAUACGGAGGAUCCGAGCGUUAUCCGGAUUUAUUGGGUUUAAAGGGAGCGUAGGUGGAUUGUUAAGUCAGUUGUGAAAGUUUGCGGCUCAACCGUAAAAUUGCAGUUGAAACUGGCAGUCUUGAGUACAGUAGAGGUGGGCGGAAUUCGUGGUGUAGCGGUGAAAUGCUUAGAUAUCACGAAGAACUCCGAUUGCGAAGGCAGCUCACUAGACUGCAACUGACACUGAUGCUCGAAAGUGUGGGUAUCANACAGG
RNAcentral lists this ribosomal RNA (758 nucleotides) under uncultured bacterium. RNAcentral describes it as "bacterial SSU rRNA". It matches the Rfam family "Bacterial small subunit ribosomal RNA", at positions 28 to 776 of the family's 1533-position model. The record is from RNAcentral.